GUCUUGAUGAUAUUAAUAUCAAGUCAAAUCUGCCCACUGAAAAAAUUAAAUGGCUGCAGUAUUAAUGACUGUACAAAGGUAGCAUAAUAAUUUGUUUUUUAAUUAAAAACUAGAAUGAAAGAUUAGAUGAAAUAUAGACUGUUUCAAUUAAUAACAUAUAAUUUUUUAUUUAAGUAAAAAAACUUAAAUAGAUUUUAAAGACGAUAAGACCCUAUAGAAUUUAAUUUAUAUUUAAAUUAAGUAAUUUAAAUAUAAAUUUGAUUGGGGUAAUUGAAAAAUUAAAUUAAUUUUUUUUUAAAAAAAUAUUUAUAAAUAAAUUUGUCAUCUUAAAUUUUAAAUUUAAAAAAUUAAUUACCUUAGGGAUAACAGCAUAAUUUUUUUUAAAAGAUCACAUUAAUAAAAAAGAUUAU
Molecule: ribosomal RNA, 410 nt
Filed under: Sacirema sp.
Lineage: Eukaryota; Metazoa; Arthropoda; Insecta; Hymenoptera; Braconidae
Description: partial 16S ribosomal RNA
Source: RNAcentral